GUGCUAAACACCGCAUUUGUUAAUAUAGUUUUGGUUUUGUUUUUUAGUACGCACUCCAUGUUACGCUCUCAAAGCCAUUUGAUUUUACUGCGGUGAGUUGGCAUCAAUUUAUGGUUAUUUGUAAAGCAAAAAGGACUGCGAGAACACUUUCAACAAAAUAAAAAAAAAAUGACUAAGAUUUUCAAUUGCUAUCUUUUAUCAGUCUGACAUGCCUAUAAUCAGGAAGUGGUGGUGCUAUCAGUUAAUUCAGACAUUUCCUCUGACAAGUCAAGUCCAACAACUAGUCACCCAGGAACAAGAACUACCAAAUCCAGAAGACAUGGAAGUCACUCCACCUGAGUCAGAAAUCAUGGAGAUCACCCCAACACCAGGAAUCUAUGUAUGUAGAGGGAAUGUUUAUGUAUUGCUUGACUUGGUUAUGUAUUUAACUUUCCUGUUUCAUAAAGGUGUUUAUGAGCAGCACUUAUUAAUUACAUUAUUAUUGGAAUUCUUAUAUUGCACACAGGACUCAGCGGUGAUGAAAAACAUUCAGCUGGCCUGUAAGUGGGUGGAGGAGAACCAACACCACUUUGCUGGGAAGAUUGAACUGCCAAAGAUCUUAAGGAUGAAGGAGGAUGAUGCCUUGUUGGCUAUCGCAAUGCGAGACUUGUUCAUAAACACCAUGUUUUAUGAAGGUGAAAGGGAUGAAGAACAAAUUCGGGCUCCCUUCCUUUUCACUUUUCAGAGAGUAGAGGACAUGGAAUUAUUCUUGCAGGAAAUACGAGACAAAAGAGAUAUCCGUGUGUCUUGUUUACACAACCCUCAUUUGUGAAUCUACCAGUGGGUUACGGUUACUAUAAUGUAAAUAUUGAUUUUUGUUUUGUAAAAUUUCAUUAAUAUUUUGUGUGAAAAGAAGUGUUGUGUUCUUGAAAUAUAUUUAUGAUAUUUAUUAUUUUAUAUCUUGCUA
This 946-nucleotide long non-coding RNA is filed under the name Sinocyclocheilus anshuiensis. Its description in RNAcentral is "lncRNA (ENSSANG00000048581.1)". Lineage: Eukaryota; Metazoa; Chordata; Actinopteri; Cypriniformes; Cyprinidae. The record is from RNAcentral.